Molecule: unclassified non-coding RNA, 313 nt
Filed under: Moritella viscosa
Lineage: Bacteria; Pseudomonadati; Pseudomonadota; Gammaproteobacteria; Alteromonadales; Moritellaceae
Description: putative sRNA
Source: RNAcentral
AUUACGUCAUAAUAUCCGAACAGAUACUUAUUUAAUUAAGCACGUUUAGAUUUAUAGUUACUUGUAACCUUGGUUUCAUUCGCGGCAAAUAAGAACCCUGAAAUCAGUCCGCACCCUAAGUAAAUCAAUGGUAAUGGCAUGGGGUACUCCUUAUUUAAUCUUUGUUUAAUUCUUUAUAGAUGGCGUAGCCGAUGAUGAACCCAAUACCAAAUAUGGGAUUGGAAAAAGCUGCAACAGGCAUAAUAUUUCCUUCUUUGUUUCAGAUAUAAAAAAGCGCCAUAUCAUUGCUGAUAUGGCGCUGUGUUAUGUGCUG